CAAGUCUCAGUACAUACUGUAUUAAAGUGAAACCGCAAAAGGCUCAGUAAACCAGUUUUGAUUCACUUGAGUAAACUUGACUGUCUUUGGAUAACUGUGGUAAUUCUAGAGCUAAUACAUGCAACAAAGCCCUGACCUCCCAAGGAAAGGGCGCUUUUAUUAGAUCAAAACCAUUCGCCCGGCUCGCCCGGGCGUCUGCUUGAUGAACCUAGAUAAUACAUCAGAUCGUAUGGUCACCGAACCGACGACUUAUCUUUCAAAUGCCUGACUUAUCAACUGUCGAUGGUAGACUCUGUGUCUACCAUGGCUUCUACGGGUAACGGGGAAUCAGGGUUCGAUUCCGGAGAGGGAGCCUGAGAAACGGCUACCACAUCCAAGGAAGGCAGCAGGCACGCAAAUUACCCACUCCCGGCACGGGGAGGUAGUGACAAAAAAUAACGAUACGGGACUCUUAUGAGGCCUCGUAAUCGGAAUGAGAACACUUUAAAUCCUUUAACAAGGAUCCAUUGGAGGGCAAGUCUGGUG
This 525-nucleotide ribosomal RNA is filed under the name Himacerus apterus. RNAcentral describes it as "SSU rRNA". It matches the Rfam family "Eukaryotic small subunit ribosomal RNA", at positions 54 to 566 of the family's 1831-position model. The record is from RNAcentral. Lineage: Eukaryota; Metazoa; Arthropoda; Insecta; Hemiptera; Nabidae.